RNAcentral lists this ribosomal RNA (386 nucleotides) under Marispirillum sp. RNAcentral describes it as "bacterial SSU rRNA". It matches the Rfam family "Bacterial small subunit ribosomal RNA", at positions 1045 to 1433 of the family's 1533-position model. Lineage: Bacteria; Pseudomonadati; Pseudomonadota; Alphaproteobacteria; Rhodospirillales; Novispirillaceae. The record is from RNAcentral.
AUGGCUGUCGUCAGCUCGUGUCGUGAGAUGUUGGGUUAAGUCCCGCAACGAGCGCAACCCUCAUCCUUAGUUGCCAGCAUUGAGUUGGGCACUCUAGGGAGACUGCCGGUGACAAGCCGGAGGAAGGUGGGGAUGACGUCAAGUCCUCAUGGCCCUUACGGGCUGGGCUACACACGUGCUACAAUGGCAUCUACAAUGGGCAGCGAACCCGCGAGGGUAGGCUAAUCCCCAAAGGAUGUCUCAGUUCGGAUUGUACUCUGCAACUCGAGUGCAUGAAGUCGGAAUCGCUAGUAAUCGUGGAUCAGCAUGCCACGGUGAAUACGUUCCCGGGCCUUGUACACACCGCCCGUCACACCAUGGGAGUUGGCUUUACCCGAAGACGGUGC